UCGACAAGUGGGUUUACGACCUCGAUGUUGGAUCAGGGUUUCCGAGUGGUGCAACCGCUACUGAAGGUUCGUUUGUUCAACGAUUAAAACCCUACGUGAUCUGAGUUCAGACCGGAGUAAUCCAGGUCAGUUUCUAUCUAUACAAAGUUUUUCCUAGUACGAAAGGACCGGAAAAACAUGGCCACUAAGCUACUUACGCCAUUUUCGGCUAUUUUUGACAACCACUUAAAAAAAUAUCGACUAAACACCCUCCCUCAAAAGAAGAGU
RNAcentral lists this ribosomal RNA (267 nucleotides) under Microkayla wettsteini (Wettstein's Andes frog). RNAcentral's name for it is "partial 16S ribosomal RNA". It matches the Rfam family "Archaeal large subunit ribosomal RNA", at positions 2574 to 2907 of the family's 2987-position model. Lineage: Eukaryota; Metazoa; Chordata; Amphibia; Anura; Craugastoridae. The record is from RNAcentral.